This is a non-coding RNA of Myodes glareolus (Bank vole), 3559 nucleotides long. The record is from RefSeq and is a predicted model, not a curated record. Lineage: Eukaryota; Metazoa; Chordata; Mammalia; Rodentia; Cricetidae.
UUUGCUUCAAACAGAACAGGUAGAUAAAGCUGGAAUUUAGAAACCCACAAAGAGUUCUUUGCUAUGUCUGACUACCUUUGGUAUGAAGGAAUACCUUUUCCUACUUUAGGAUAUGAUAGAGAAACACUUGAAAAUUGUGAUAAGUUUGUGAUAAGAGAUGAAGAUACAGUCAUACUGACUUACCCCAAAUCAGGAACAAAUUGGAUGAUUGAAAUGAUCUCCUUGAUUCAGACCAAGGGGAAUCCCAAAUGGAUUCAAUCUGUUCCCAUUUGGGAACGCUCACCCUGGAUAGAGACGUCAUAUGGAUAUGAAUUAUUAAUCAAUAAGGAAGGACCACGCCUCAUCAGCUCCCACCUUCCCUUCCAUCUUUUCCCCAAGUCCUUUUUCAGUUCCAAGGCCAAGGUGAUCUUUGUCAUCAGAAAUCCUAGAGAUGCUUUUGUGUCUAGUUAUUUUUUCUUUCAUAAGACAAAACUUGCUAAGAAUCCAGAGUUAUUUGGAGCUUAUUUUGAACGGUUCCUCAAAGGAAAUGUGGUAUAUGGAUCAUGGUUUGAACACACCCGUGACUGGUUGUCCAUGAGAGAAAGGGAUAAUUUCCUGCUAGUGAGCUAUGAAGAGAUGAAAAAGGAUACAAGGAAAACCAUAGAGAAGAUCUGUGACUUCCUAGGAAAGAAAUUAGAGACAGAAGAGCUGGAUCUGGUCCUCAAGCACAGCUCCUUCCAAGCCAUGAAUGAAAAUAACAUGUCCAAUCAUAGUCUCAUCCCAGAAGAUGUGGUUACUAAUGGUUUGAAACUGUUGAGAAAAGGAGGAAAAGGGCCCAAAGAUCACAAGAAUGAGAACCAAAAUAAACAUCAAAAACCAAAUAGAUACCUAAUAGAAGAUAAAGUUGGAAGUAGCCUUGAACACAUUGGCACAGGAGACUACUUUCUGAAUAAAACAGCAGUAUCAGACACUGAGUUAGACAAUUAAUGAAUGGAACCUCCUGAAACUGAGAAGCUUCUGUAAGGCAAAGAACUCAGUCAACACAACAAAACAGCAAUCUACAGAAUGCGAAAAAAUCUCCAUCAACCCCUCUUCUGACAGAGGGCUGAUCUUCAAAAUAUAAAAGAAUGCAAGUAACUAGAUACCAAAAUAUCAAAUAAUCUAAUUACAAAAUGGGCUACAGAUUUAAACAGAGAACUCUCAACAAAGGAAUCUCUAACAAACAAAAGACACAACCUUCAUCCAGUAACUGAUGGAAACAGAUGCAGAAAUCCAUAGCUAAGCACUUGGUUGAACUCCUGGAAUCCAGUCACAGAGAAGAGGAGUGAUAUUAUGAACAAAGGGGUCAAGACCAUGAUGGGGACACCCACAGAAACAUCUAACAUGAACUCAUUGACCCUGGAUUGGCAGCUGUGGAAUAAGCAUAAAACUGAACUAGGACCUCUGAAUGUGGGUGACAGUUGUGUGCAUGAUCUGUCUCUUUGGAGCCCAUUCCCUUGGAUGGAUAUCUUGUUCAGCCUAGAUACUGGGGGGAGUGCAUGAUUCUACCUCAAGUGAAGUGGCAGACUUUAUUGACUACCCAUGGGAGGCCUCACUCUCUCUGAGGAGUAGAUGGUAGGUGGGGUGUGGUGGGGAGAAGAUGUGAGGAAUGGGAAGAUGGGAAGGAGAGUGAACUGGAAGUGGUAUGUAAAAUAGUAAGAUUUUAUAUACCAUUCCCAGUGGUUUCACUGGUCUCACUGCAUUUUAAUAUACCAUGGCUUACUGGAAUCCAUGGGGUAGCCACAAUUUCUGAAGAUAAACAAUGGAAAAAGAAUGAAUUGGGGGUUGGGAGAUAGAGAAGGGGGGGGAGCUGGAAAGAGAGAGGAAGCUUUGGGUGGGAUGUAAAACCAUGACAUGAAUAAAAUAUAAUAAUAAAUAUGAAAACAAAAAAUAAAUAGACAAAAAGCAUAAGUGAAGCAAAAUAACUGCCACAUAUAUGCAGAGAAGCUCUGUCAGUCCCAUGCAGGCUCCCUGAAUGUUAGGUCAGUCUCUGUGGGCUCCUAUCAGCUCAGGGUAGUUGUUUUUGUGGAUGUUUUUAUGACCUCCUUGAGCUUUCUGGAUCCUACAUUCCUUCCAUUCUCUCUCCAGGAUUCACUGAACACAGCCUAAUGUCUGACUAUGGGUCCCUUCCUCUAUUCAGGAAUUCCUUUUUUAAAAAAUUUCCAACUGCAACAAAAAAACUAAUAAUUUAAAUGUACCAUGACUUCAUGAUCUGUUCCUCAGUUGAUAAGUUUUUAGGAUGCUUACAAUUUCCAACUGUUAUAAAUAGAGCAAAAAUGAAAAUGAUGAACAAGUAUUUGUGUAGUAAAAUGUAGAAUGCUUUGGGUAUGUGCCCAAGAGUACUAUAGCAGGACCUUGAAGUAGAUAAUUCACAACUUCAUGAGAAAUUGCCACACUGGUUUACAUAGAGGUACUUUUUUUUACUCCAGAUCUUUGGUUAUGUCAAGAUUGCCCCAAUAUCUAAUUCCUGAGGUUUUAUUAAUACUAGAACAAUUUAGAUAAAUGUUUCACAUAUAUGUAUAAAUAUAUAUUUGUACUUAUUAUGUAUUUAUACAUAUUUAUAGUCAUAUUUAUAUAUUUUAUAUAUAUUUAUACACAUAAGAAACAUUUAUCUAAAUUGUUCUAGUACAUAUGAAACAUUUCUCUAAUAAUAUAUUUGAAACUUGUAUUUAAAUUGUUCUAGUAUAUAUGAAACAUUUUUCACUUAUUUGAAUUUUCAUGUGUGUGUGUAAAUAUCAAUUGCUCAGUCUAUAUACUGUUAUUUGUAUGUAUGUUUUUAGGGCUGACCAUAUUGGUAUUGGACAACCAAUUAGUGAGAUUGUCCCUGAGGAAGUCUUUCUUCCAUUCUCAUGAUUCCUUCUGUAUUUUACUGGACCACUUUAUAUCAAAUUGACACAAGCUAGAAUCAAUUGAAAGGAAGAAAACUCAUUUGAGAAAAUGUCUUGAAAAGAUUCAGCUGCAGAUCUCUUUAUUAUUUAUGGAAUAAUGGUGGAGGUUACACUACUUAAUGGCUGGUUUACUGCCACUGUUUGUGGUCCUCAGUUGUAUGAGAAUGUAGGCUCAGUGAGUUGUUAUGGGCAAAUCAGUAAAAAGCAUUACUUUAUGACCUCUGGAUCAUCUCCUGCCUCCAGGCUCUGGUCCUGUCUUAGUUCUUAUACUGACUUCUUUCACUGAUGAACAGUGAUAGUGAAGCAUAAGUCAAAUAAAUCCCUUCCCCAUCUUGCUUUUUGUUAUUCUCUUUCAUUGCAACAACAGAAACCAUAACAUAAACAUUAAUAUUUCUAAAUUUAGUUUUGAGAUAGGGUCUGACGUAGCCCAGUUUGGACUUGUUCUGCUAUGUGAUGGGUGAUGACCUUGGAUAGUUGCUUUCCUGUCUGCAACCCAGAGCUUCCUUUGUGCUCAGCAGGUGCUCCACCAAGAGCUGGUUUAUAUGCAAGAUUCUGCUAUUCUGUGUCUUCAGUUCCAAAAACUUUGACGAUUAUCAUUCAGUUUGUCAUGUGUGUAUGUGGUGAUUUGAACAUGAAUAAAUGAACGGCCACUU